This 77-nucleotide transfer RNA is filed under the name Candidatus Nasuia deltocephalincola. Its description in RNAcentral is "Candidatus Nasuia deltocephalinicola tRNA-Arg". It matches the Rfam family "tRNA". From Rfam's summary of the family: Transfer RNA (tRNA) molecules are approximately 80 nucleotides in length. Their secondary structure includes four short double-helical elements and three loops (D, anti-codon, and T loops). The record is from RNAcentral. Lineage: Bacteria; Pseudomonadati; Pseudomonadota; Betaproteobacteria.
UCCUCCCUUAGCUCAACAGGAUAGAGCAGUGGCCUUCUAAGCCAAAGAUUUAUACGUUCAAAUCGUAUAGGGUGGAU